UACAGAGGUCUCGAGCGUUAGGCGGAAUCACUGGGCUUAAAGCGUGUGUAGGUGGAUCGUUAAGUACCUUGUGAAAUCCCACGGCUUAACCGUGGAACUGCUUGGUAUACUGGCGGUCUUGAGCCAGCUAGGGGCUACCGGAACAAAUGGUGGAGCGGUGAAAUGCGUAGAUAUCUGGAGGAAUACCGGUGGCGAAGGCGGCAUCCUGGACCAUUACUGACGCUGAGGCGCGAAAGCUAGGGGAGCAAACGGG
Molecule: ribosomal RNA, 253 nt
Filed under: uncultured bacterium
Lineage: Bacteria
Description: partial 16S ribosomal RNA
Rfam family: Bacterial small subunit ribosomal RNA
Source: RNAcentral